CUUCCUCAACUUUCCAUUCUCUCGAUCUCUCCUCCCUCGAUCUCUCCUCCUUGAAUCUCCUUCAACCUUCCAACAUGCAAAAUCUCCUUGAAUCUCCUUUAUCGCCGCCACCAUCAUCAUCAGACCUCGAUCUAGGGUUUACACUGAGGCUUCGCCGUCGAUGAGCUAGGGUACCGGGAGGUGGGCCUGAGAAGAGCUUCGGGUCCAGAUCCUACUCCGACGUGUACAUAGCCCUCCGAAUCUCCGUCAACCUUACCGUGAGGUCCGCGGCUACCAGUCGGCGUUACGAGAAAUCGAAGCCCUCCGCCGCCAUUGAUGGGUUGAUGAAUCCAAAUGGGUUCUCGAAUUAUAUGCUUUUUUAUCAAAGGAUUCAAUGAGGAAUUGAGGAUUGUUGUUGGAACUUGGGCGUUGGAUGUGGUUUUAAUUUGAAAUUUAUUGCGGAUGUCAUGUUUAUGUUGUUUUGGAGUAUUUGAUUUUUGGAAUUUGGAUGUCUUGGACUUUCGGAUAUUGUGUAUGUGGAUUUCAUUUUUAGAUGUUGGAGGACGAUGUAAUAUUGUUAUUUUGGAUGUAUUGUUAAAACUUAAUUUAUGAACUUGGAUAUUAGACUUUGUAUUUA
Molecule: long non-coding RNA, 616 nt
Organism: Malus domestica (apple)
Lineage: Eukaryota; Viridiplantae; Streptophyta; Magnoliopsida; Rosales; Rosaceae
Source: RefSeq, a predicted model, not a curated record